RNAcentral lists this ribosomal RNA (749 nucleotides) under uncultured bacterium. RNAcentral's name for it is "bacterial SSU rRNA". It matches the Rfam family "Bacterial small subunit ribosomal RNA", at positions 69 to 818 of the family's 1533-position model. The record is from RNAcentral.
GAGGGAGUAGUUUACUAUGACCAGACAAGUGCCAUCCUAGUGGCGGACGGGUGAGUAACGCGUGGGCAACCUGCCCUGUACAGGGGGAUAACACUUAGAAAUAGGUGCUAAUACCGCAUGAGCGCGCAAAGACGCAUGUCUUUGUGCGGGAAGCCCGCAAGGGCGGUACAGGAUGGGCCCGCGUCUGAUUAGCCAGUUGGCAGGGUAACGGCCUACCAAAGCGACGAUCAGUAGCCGGCCUGAGAGGGUGGACGGCCACAUUGGGACUGAGACACGGCCCAAACUCCUACGGGAGGCAGCAGUGGGGGAUAUUGCACAAUGGGGGAAACCCUGAUGCAGCGACGCCGCGUGAGUGAAGGAGCGUUUCGGCGCGUAAAGCUCUAUCAGCAGGGAAGAAAAAAGACGGUACCUGACCAAGAAGCCCCGGCUAACUACGUGCCAGCAGCCGCGGUAAUACGUAGGGGGCAAGCGUUAUCCGGAUUUACUGGGUGUAAAGGGAGCGUAGACGGCAAGACAAGCCUGGAGUGAAAGGCGGGGGCCCAACCCCCGGACUGCUCUGGGAACUGUCUGGCUGGAGUGCAGGAGGGGUAAGUGGAAUUCCUAGUGUAGCGGUGAAAUGCGUAGAUAUUAGGAGGAACACCAGUGGCGAAGGCGGCUUACUGGACUGUAACUGACGUUGAGGCUCGAAAGCGUGGGGAGCAAACAGGAUUAGAUACCCUGGUAGUCCACGCCGUAAACGAUGACCACUA